This 201-nucleotide unclassified non-coding RNA is filed under the name uncultured Russulaceae. RNAcentral's name for it is "sequence contains ITS1". Lineage: Eukaryota; Fungi; Basidiomycota; Agaricomycetes; Russulales; Russulaceae. The record is from RNAcentral.
UCGUGCAAACAAGGGGACGUUACGGGGGGCUGUCGCUGACCAUCUAAAGGUCGUGCACGCCCUCUUAGCGUUCUCAUUUACACAUCCAUCUCACCCUUUGUGCAUCACCGCGUGGGUGCUCUCCUUUUUGAAAAGGGAGCAUUUGCGCUUUUACACAGACCCACCGCAUGUCUAGAAUGUUGCGAUAAUAUGCAAUCAAUA